GACGAACGCUGGCGGCGUGCCUAAUACAUGCAAGUUGAGCGCUGAAGGUUGGUACUUGUACCGACUGGAUGAGCAGCGCACGGGUGAGUAACGCGUGGGGAAUCUGCCUUUGAGCGGGGGACAACAUUUGGAAACGAAUGCUAAUACCGCAUAAAAACUUUAAACACAAGUUUUAAGUUUGAAAGAUGCAAUUGCAUCACUCAAAGAUGAUCCCGCGUUGUAUUAGCUAGUUGGUGAGGUAAAGGCUCACCAAGGCGAUGAUACAUAGCCGACCUGAGAGGGUGAUCGGCCACAUUGGGACUGAGACACGGCCCAAACUCCUACGGGAGGCAGCAGUAGGGAAUCUUCGGCAAUGGACGAAAGUCUGACCGAGCAACACCGCGUGAGUGAAGAAGGUGUUCGGAUCGUAAAACUCUGUUGGUAGAGAAGAACGUUGGUGAGAGUGGAAAGCGCAUCAAGUGACGGUAACGACCCAGAAAGGGACGGCUAACUACGU
RNAcentral lists this ribosomal RNA (496 nucleotides) under uncultured bacterium. RNAcentral's name for it is "partial 16S ribosomal RNA". It matches the Rfam family "Bacterial small subunit ribosomal RNA", at positions 28 to 506 of the family's 1533-position model. The record is from RNAcentral.